RNAcentral lists this ribosomal RNA (253 nucleotides) under uncultured bacterium. RNAcentral's name for it is "partial 16S ribosomal RNA". It matches the Rfam family "Bacterial small subunit ribosomal RNA", at positions 524 to 776 of the family's 1533-position model. The record is from RNAcentral.
AACGUAGGACGCAAGCGUUAUCCGGAGUUACUGGGCGUAAAGCGCGGGCAGGCGGUCUGAUGCGCCCGAUGUGAAAGCGCCCGGCUAAACCGGGCGAGGCCAUUGGAAACGGUUGGACUGGAGGGCAGUAGGGGCAGGCGGAAUUCCGGGUGGAGUGGUGAAAUGCGUAGAGAUCCGGAGGAACACCAGUGGCGAAGGCGACUUACUGGACGACCGUUGACGCUGAGGUGCGAAAGCGUGGGGAGCAAACAGG